ACUCUCCUGAGCUAGAACCCUAGCUUUUGUUGCGGAUCGGCCAUGGAUUCAACUAUGGAAUCAUGGUUUUCCUUUAUUUUGACAAAUUUUUCUUCUCCUAUUCAAAGGAUUUUUCUUUAUUCCUCUUUCCGAGAUUAAGGUUACGCGAAAUCCAUUUGGAUUGAUUUGUUGGAUUCAUUCUCAACUUCAGUUGGAUUUGGAGAAAAGCAAGGAUGGAUUGCUUGUAUGCAAAACAUUGCUUCAUGGCAGAGAAGGAGAAGUUAGGUCAGAAGUAAUGAGUAGCUUUGAGAAUAGAUGUUUAUUUGAGAAGUUUAAUUGUUUUUAAAUGAGUUAGAAUGUUUUAUUUAUAACUGGAGAUAGUUCUUAAAUUUAACAGUGUGUGAAAUGUCAUUUAUCGUUUAAUAGGAUUGGAAAGGAUCCUUGGUUUGAGAGACUCCCAUGUACCCACAAAGGAACUUAUGCCGAUGAUUUUAUGGUUGAUAGAGUUACUUAAUCUGAUAUCAAAGAAGACAUUAAUAGUGGAUAUACUGAUCUGUACUAUUUUCAUGAGAUAGAGAUUUGAAGUGGAGAAUUCGCAAGGUUUCUGCCUUUCCAAUCAUGUACAUCACUAGCCAUAAGUUUGAAGUAAUCGAUUGAGGGACUACCUAAAGCAACCCUUGGUGGAGCUCCACGAUAUGGAGAUGAUCACAUACAAGAUAGAACAACUUCUACUGGGGUUUCUGAAACUCAAUUUUUUGCGAGCGCAAAUGUUGAUAGUGCAUAGCCACCAAAUGAUGACAAUUAUGACUGCAUGAUUGAAGAAAUCAUUGGCAAGUGAGAUGUUAUGCGAUAGAGAUGAUGAAGCACGUGGAAAAGCUCAUGUUUCAAAGGGUGAGAUGAUUCAGCAACCAAAAGAUUAUGUAACUCCUGUAGGAGAGCUUGCAAUUAGAGUGGCAAGGUUAUAACAGAUUGAAUUCAGUUUUAGCAAGAAUUCAUGUUGCGAUUUGUUUUCAGAGAUUCGAUGUUCUUGAAUGAUAUUUUGGGUAAUUGAUAUAAAUUUAGUUUCA
Molecule: long non-coding RNA, 1046 nt
Organism: Papaver somniferum (opium poppy)
Lineage: Eukaryota; Viridiplantae; Streptophyta; Magnoliopsida; Ranunculales; Papaveraceae
Exons: 7
Source: RefSeq, a predicted model, not a curated record